This 253-nucleotide ribosomal RNA is filed under the name uncultured bacterium. RNAcentral describes it as "partial 16S ribosomal RNA". It matches the Rfam family "Bacterial small subunit ribosomal RNA", at positions 524 to 776 of the family's 1533-position model. The record is from RNAcentral.
UACGUAGGGUGCAAGCGUUGUCCGGAAUUAUUGGGCGUAAAGGGCUCGUAGGCGGUUUGUCACGUCGGGAGUGAAAACUCGGGGCUUAACCCCGAGCCUGCUUCCGAUACGGGCAGACUAGAGGUAUGCAGGGGAGAACGGAAUUCCUGGUGUAGCGGUGAAAUGCGCAGAUAUCAGGAGGAACACCGGUGGCGAAGGCGGUUCUCUGGGCAUUACCUGACGCUGAGGAGCGAAAGUGUGGGGAGCGAACAGG